UACGAAGGGGGCUAGCGUUGUUCGGAAUUACUGGGCGUAAAGCGCACGUAGGCGGAUAUUUAAGUCAGGGGUGAAAUCCCGCAGCUCAACUGCGGAACUGCCUUUGAUACUGGGUAUCGCGAGUAUGGAAGAGGUGAGUGGAAUUCCGAGUGGAGAGGUGAAAUUCGUAGAUCGUCGGAGGAACACCAGUGGCGAAGGCGGCGCACUGGUACAUUACUGACGCUGAGGUGCGCAAUCGUGGGGAGCCAACAGGAUUAGAUACCCGGGUAGUCC
RNAcentral lists this ribosomal RNA (273 nucleotides) under uncultured bacterium. RNAcentral describes it as "partial 16S ribosomal RNA". It matches the Rfam family "Bacterial small subunit ribosomal RNA", at positions 524 to 796 of the family's 1533-position model. The record is from RNAcentral.